This is a long non-coding RNA of Cervus elaphus (red deer), 648 nucleotides long. RefSeq lists it as uncharacterized. The record is from RefSeq and is a predicted model, not a curated record. The transcript is spliced from 4 exons. NCBI's taxonomy places the organism in Eukaryota, Metazoa, Chordata, Mammalia, Artiodactyla, Cervidae.
AGGCCAGCUUCAGUCUUAAUGAAGUGGGUCAGGAAGGAAGUGCUGAGAGAGAUGGGUGCCUGGUGCAGUCAGUGGGUGGGAGCUAAUGGCAGCAAGAAGAUCGGAGCCUUCUGAGAGGCAGCCUGAUUCCUGGGAAAGAGCAUUGGCUAGAAGUCUGAAGGCCUGGGCUAGUUUUACUCUGUUAUUAAAUUGCUGCUGGACCCUGGCUUUGCCAGAAGGGUAGAGAGACACUGAUGAACACUGGCCGUCUCAGCAUCCAACUCAGCACCUGGGCCACAGUAAGCACGCUGUGAAUGUUGAUUUGAGCAAGUGAACUGAUUGAAGGAAAAAUCUCCAGGAAAUGCAUCUUACAAUCUCACCAACAAGUGCAGCAUCUGGAUGGAAGCAGGAGAUAUCAAGCCAUCUCAGGUUGUCUGCUGCAGACUUGUGUGGAGAAUCCCACAAGGUGAAACCAGAAUCCUCAAGGCCAAUACUUUACCAACUGAGCUAUCAGGGAAGUCCGCCUGGCUUUGAAGAAGCUGAAUAACACAAUUUACUAUGCAUUUACUAUUCAGAAAACUAACAUCAUGGCAUCCGAUCCCAUCACUUCAUGGCAAAUAGAUGGGGAAACAGUGGAAAUAGUGGCUGACCUUAUUUUUCUGGGCUCCA